UAAUGGAACACCCCGGACACCAUAACCACUACAGUGUUUUGUAGUGGUUAUGGUGCCGAUGGCCCCGUU
Non-coding RNA from Pelobates cultripes (western spadefoot toad), 69 nucleotides. NCBI's taxonomy places the organism in Eukaryota, Metazoa, Chordata, Amphibia, Anura, Pelobatidae. The record is from the annotation of a GenBank genome assembly.